This 64-nucleotide transfer RNA is filed under the name Cavia porcellus (domestic guinea pig). It matches the Rfam family "tRNA". Rfam says of the family: Transfer RNA (tRNA) molecules are approximately 80 nucleotides in length. Their secondary structure includes four short double-helical elements and three loops (D, anti-codon, and T loops). The record is from Rfam by way of RNAcentral. Lineage: Eukaryota; Metazoa; Chordata; Mammalia; Rodentia; Caviidae.
GGGGAUUUAGCUCAGUGGCUUGAGCGCCUGCCUUGCAAGCAUGUGGUCAUGAGUACAAUCCCUG